This 634-nucleotide ribosomal RNA is filed under the name uncultured Actinomycetes bacterium. Its description in RNAcentral is "bacterial SSU rRNA". It matches the Rfam family "Bacterial small subunit ribosomal RNA", at positions 813 to 1449 of the family's 1533-position model. The record is from RNAcentral. Lineage: Bacteria; Bacillati; Actinomycetota; Actinomycetes.
GCACUAGUUGUGGGGACCUUCCACGGUUUCUGCGACGCAGCUAACGCAUUAAGUGCCCCGCCUGGGGAGUACGAUCGCAAGAUUAAAACUCAAAGGAAUUGACGGGGCCCCGCACAAGCAGCGGAGCAUGCGGCUUAAUUCGACGCAACGCGAAGAACCUUACCAAGGCUUGACAUAUACAGGAAUAUGGCAGAAAUGUCAUAGCCGCAAGGUCUGUAUACAGGUGGUGCAUGGUUGUCGUCAGCUCGUGUCGUGAGAUGUUGGGUUAAGUCCCGCAACGAGCGCAACCCUCGUUCUGUGUUGCCAGCAUUUAGUUGGGGACUCACAGGAGACUGCCGGGGUUAACUCGGAGGAAGGUGGGGAUGACGUCAAAUCAUCAUGCCCCUUAUGUCUUGGGCUGCACGCAUGCUACAAUGGCUGGUACAAACGGCUGCGAUACCGCAAGGUGGAGCGAAUCCGAUAAAGCCAGUCUCAGUUCGGAUUGGGGUCUGCAACUCGACCCCAUGAAGUCGGAGUUGCUAGUAAUCGUAGAUCAGCAACGCUACGGUGAAUACGUUCCCGGGGUUUGUACACACCGCCCGUCACGUCACGAAAGUCGGUAACACCCGAAGUCAGUGGCCCAACCGUAAGGGGG